AUCAAUUUUCAAAAUCUCUACCAAACGGACCCAUAAGAAGUUUAGUCGGUAAUUAUUUUCAUGAGAAAUGAAAAAUCAGUAGGAAGAAUGUUUAAUAUUAGUAGUAAAAAAAGGAUAAUUCUAUUUGUAUGUAAAAAACGUCCGGAAGCAAUUACAGCUUGCUGAUGUUGCGCUUUUAAUUGUUAAAAGAUAUUGACCCCAAUAACUCGGAGAAAUUGGUAAAAUCCAUUUCAAAUUCAGACCUUACCAAAACCAAAACCCAAACCCAUCACAAAGUUUGAUAAUCUCUCUCCGGACUCCCUUGCACACUUCAUCAUGCAUUGGAGAUCUCUCGGUUGCGAAGCUACAUCUGGCAAAUCCAGGUCCGGGGACUCUGUUUCGAUGUUUUUCUGAAAUGACUGGAAUUCCUUUUUUUUUUUUUUUUGGUGCUUUAUUUAUAGAUAUUCAUUUGGGGUUUUGAAAUCAGUAUCAACCACGAAGAAUGUAUGUUUUUGAAAUGAUUGGACCUUUUUUUUUUGGGUGCUUUAUUUAUAGAUUUUCAUUUUUGGGUUUUUAAAUGAGUAGAUUAUAUAUUUGGACAGUUGAUUACCGGGAAAUGUGUGUUUUCAAAAUGUCCCUUUAUUUAUACAAAUCUUCAUUUUGGGGUGGGUUUUGGUACUGUCACGAUGGAAGUGUUUUUCCAUUCUUUGACUGAAUUCGUUUUUCGGGGGAAGAGUCACUACGAAAGCGGUUUUGUGCUUUUCUUUAUGCAAAUUCCAACCAUAGAAACCUCUUUUUUUUUUUUUUUUCCUUUUCUUUUUUAGUAUCCUGAAGCAAAUUUCAACCACAGUUAUAUGUCCAUUGGAGAAAAUUGUUUCAUUUACAUUUGGGUUUAUUGCUACUUGCCAAUUCAGACAUUAUUGUGAUGUGGUUUUUUCGUUGUUAUAUUAGAAUUCUUCAAUGCCUAGAAAAAAUAAAGGGAUAUGUCAUUCAUGUAGACAGCCAGGACACAUGUUGCCAGAUUACCUCGGAAAGAGAAGAUGCGCAAACAGUGGCCAAUGCUACAUUAAAUGGAUGGAGGUGGAAAAGCAAAGCGAUAAAAAAAGGCAUUUGUUCCAUUGUUGUACCCGCGACGUACGUUGAUUUUUUGAUUGGAAUAAAUCUCAUCCUGCUACAGUAUAUUGGUUGCAAGAUGAAGGUCAAUCAAGUGGCGUCUCCAAUGGUAGUGAAUCCGUCAAUGAUUUGUCGGGUAUGUUAAAAACGUGUGCUAAAAUAGCCGAGAAAAAAGACAUUGAGAUCUCUCUCAACAUCAUAACAAUUCAUAAGGAGAAAUGGGAUUUGGAAGAUGUUCUAUGAACUUCGAUGUAAUGGGAUAGUGAAUGAAUAUUUAAUCUUUAGUGUGAUGCCUUAAUGUUAAUGAAAAUGUACUGCAUGAAUGUUAAUGUCAAUGACAACGUAAUGACUUAAUGUCAAUGAAAAUAUAAUGCCUUAAUGUUAAUCUUCGACUUAUGUUAAUGACAAUGUAAUGCCUUAACAUUAAUGAAAAAUGCAUU
Molecule: long non-coding RNA, 1532 nt
Filed under: Olea europaea subsp. europaea
Lineage: Eukaryota; Viridiplantae; Streptophyta; Magnoliopsida; Lamiales; Oleaceae
Source: RNAcentral